ACCGGGAAUAUUGCGCAAUGGGCGAAAGCCUGACGCAGCGACACCGCGUGUGGGAAGAAACCCUUCGGGGCGUAAACCACUGUGGCAAAGGAAGAAAUUUUGACGGUACUUUGCUAGAAAGCACCUGCUAACUACGUGCCAGAAGCCUCGGUAAUCCGUAGGGUGCAAGCGUUAUCCGGAUUUACUGGGCGUAAAGCGUUUCGUCGGCGGUUUACUAAGUUCCAUCUUUAAUACUGGGGCACAACUCCAGAUACAGGGUGGAAAACUAGUAAGCUUGAGUAUGUUCGGGGGAACUAGAAUUCUCGGUGGAGGGGUGAAAUCCGUAGAUAUCGAGAGGAAUACCAUCCGCGAAGGCGGGUUCCUAGGACAUCACUGACGCUCAGGAACGAAAGUUUGGGUAGCAAAAGGGAUUAGAUACCCGGGUAGUCC
Molecule: ribosomal RNA, 429 nt
Filed under: uncultured bacterium
Lineage: Bacteria
Description: partial 16S ribosomal RNA
Rfam family: Bacterial small subunit ribosomal RNA
Source: RNAcentral